This 455-nucleotide ribosomal RNA is filed under the name uncultured bacterium. RNAcentral describes it as "bacterial SSU rRNA". It matches the Rfam family "Bacterial small subunit ribosomal RNA", at positions 38 to 507 of the family's 1533-position model. The record is from RNAcentral.
GGCGGCGCGCCUAACACAUGCAAGUCGAACGAGAGAUGAAGAGCUUGCUCUCAAAUCGAGUGGCGAACGGGUGAGUAACGCGUGAGGAACCUGCCUCAAAGAGGGGGACAACAGUUGGAAACGACUGCUAAUACCGCAUAAGCCCACGGCUCGGCAUCGAGCAGAGGGAAAAGGAGUGAUCCGCUUUGAGAUGGCCUCGCGUCCGAUUAGCUAGUUGGUGAGGUAACGGCCCACCAAGGCGACGAUCGGUAGCCGGACUGAGAGGUUGAACGGCCACAUUGGGACUGAGACACGGCCCAGACUCCUACGGGAGGCAGCAGUGGGGAAUAUUGCACAAUGGGGGAAACCCUGAUGCAGCGACGCCGCGUGGAGGAAGAAGGUCUUCGGAUUGUAAACUCCUGUUGUUGAGGAAGAUAAUGACGGUACUCAACAAGGAAGUGACGGCUAACUACGUG